UACAGGGGGUGCAAGCGUUGUCCGGAAUGAUUGGGCGUAAAGCAUCUGUAGGUGGUUUCUAAAGUCAACUGUUAAAUCCCAGAGCUCAACUUUGGACAAGCAGUUGAGUACUUAGGGACUUGAGUAUGGUAGGGGUAGAGGGAAUUCCUAGUGGAGCGGUGAAAUGCACAGAGAUUAGGAAGAACACCAGUGGCGAAAGCGCUCUACUGGGCCAUGACUGACACUGAGAGAUGAAAGUUAGGGGAGCGAAAAGG
This 254-nucleotide ribosomal RNA is filed under the name uncultured bacterium. RNAcentral's name for it is "partial 16S ribosomal RNA". It matches the Rfam family "Bacterial small subunit ribosomal RNA", at positions 524 to 776 of the family's 1533-position model. The record is from RNAcentral.